GAUGAAGAAACGUAGUGAAAUGCGAUAAGUAAUGUGAAUUGCAGAAUUCAGUGAAUCAUCGAAUCUUUGAACGCACAUUGCGCCCCUUGGUAUUCCGAGGGGCAUGCCUGUUCGAGCGUCAUUAUAACCCCUCAAGCUCAGCUUGGUGUUGGGGCCUGCUGCACUGGCAGCCCUUAAAAUCAGUGGCGGCGCCAUCUGGCUCUAAGCGUAGUAAUUCUUCUCGCUAUGGAGUCCUGGUGGAUGCUUGCCAUCAACCCCCAAUUUUUCUAUGGUUGACCUCGGAUCAGGUAGGGAUACCCGCUGAACUUAAGCAUAUCAAUAAGCGGAGGA
RNAcentral lists this unclassified non-coding RNA (330 nucleotides) under soil metagenome. RNAcentral's name for it is "partial contains 5.8S ribosomal RNA, internal transcribed spacer 2, and large subunit ribosomal RNA". The stretch from base 1 to 121 matches the Rfam family "5.8S ribosomal RNA", at positions 35 to 154 of the family's 154-position model. The record is from RNAcentral.